RNAcentral lists this long non-coding RNA (3588 nucleotides) under Homo sapiens (human). RNAcentral's name for it is "PREDICTED lncRNA (TCONS_00160889)". The record is from RNAcentral. Lineage: Eukaryota; Metazoa; Chordata; Mammalia; Primates; Hominidae.
GUUCCAAUGAGAAUGAAGGCUGAGGUGUGCGCCUUUUUUUUUUUUCCUUCUUAGUCGUGUGUACAUCAUUGGGAAUGGAGGGAAAUAAAUGACUGGAUGGUCGCUGCUUUUUAAGUUUCAAAUUGACAUUCCAGACAAGCGGUGCCUGAGCCCGUGCCUGUCUUCAGAUCUUCACAGCACAGUUCCUGGGAAGGUGGAGCCACCAGCCUCUCCCUGACAAGCAAAGUGGAUCAGCAAAGGCUGCAGUCACCAGCAUCUUUUCCAACCUUAAUGAACUGUAUCCUCAAAAGAACACUAUCAGACUGGCUCUGCCGACUUCCAGUUCUGGAACAAGAUGGUUAAACUCAUUUUUCCCUGCUCUGCUCCUCUAAAUACAACUAAGUACCUUGGAAACUAUUCAGCAGACAAUGAUAAAGGGCUCUGAAAGCUAGAAGAAAAGGUGUACUUGCAAGAAACCUCAGGACUUGAGUAACAGCAACAUGUCUUGGACGAGCCUGAGGAUGUCUACAAGUGGAAGAAAAGAAGCCACUGGAGCAGAAGGUGGGGAGGAUAAAAUUUGGAGCAAGAUUCUCAAGGAAGCAACAAGAUCCUAAGGAAAGGAGAAAGAGACUACCUACUGCAUUUCUGUCACUCGCUGAAAAGGACACUCUGUCAGAAAAUCUUCUAGCAAACUUCAAAGGGCAAAAUCACCCCUUGUUACUGAUAAAGCCCAGAGAGCUUCAGCAGCUAACAUUCCCUGGACAGGGCACAGCAAGGAUUUGAACCUAGGUCAGUCUGGCCAGAACACCCACAAGCUUUCCUUAACUCAGUGUGCUAUCUCCCCACGACUAGGUCACUACUGCUUUAUAAUCACCUUUGUAGCCACCAGUGGAUUUUGCUCAUCAGUAUUUUUCAGGCAAUUGAUACUUUAGAUAUUCAGCUGCAAGACGUAUGCAGUUUUCAUUGACAUCUUUUGGAGAAACUGACAAACCUGGACUUGACUUAAUGCCUUUGGAACCUUCCAAGAUGUUAUAUAACUCUAGAUAGAAGGCUGGGCCUCCAUGAUGUCAGGAAUGUUGCAUUCUUAUUUCCCCAUAGAUAAACCCAUUUGUCCACAAAGUCAAGGAGUCAGGCAGAGGCCCUUGCCAUGGGGCUUUUUAGGAUAAAGCAACAAGCCUGGACUUUGCUCUACAACAGGGUUUUGCAUAGGGAGUGGUAUGACCAGAUCCCUCAAGAAAGAAAGCUUAGAGACCAGGCCAGAGUCCACUGCAGUAGCCCAGUCAAGAGAGGAUGGUGACUUGGACUUGUAGUAGAGCCAGUUAGAAUGAAAGAAAUUGACACAUUCAGAAAUGGUUUUAGAGAUAGAGUCAAACUGGACCUGAUAAAGAACUAGAGAAGCGGAGUGAGGAUAAAGAGAAGAGCCAUGACUGACUCGGAAGAUUUUGUCUUGAAAAACUUGAGAACUCAAGACAGAGUGAAAUAAAAUCACAUGUGGGAAAAAUCUCCUGCUUUGUUUUGGACUACUUUGAAGUGAAAUGCCUGUUAAGCCUAAGUGGGGUAGGUCAUGGCGUACAUGACUGUGGGCUCAGGAUGGAUACAGGCAUUCAGGAGUUGUGAGCAAAUAGAACUUAAAGCCAUGAGAGAAGAAGGGAUCACCAAGAGAGACAGUGUGGCAUAGAGAAGAAAAGGGGUGGAAGACGAUCCCUGGGCAGAAAAGUCCUUAGAGCAGAGGCAACAGGCAUGACCAAGAAGACUAAGAAAGAACAUUCAGUACAGCAGGAGGAGAGCAAAAAAUGUGUGGUAUUCUAGAAGCAAAGAGAAUAAAGGGCUUCAGGAAGGAGCAGUCAAGUGUGUCAAAUAAGAUAAAGACAGACAAGUCCCCUGGAUUGGGUAGGAAUAAAAUAACAACAGACUGCCAUACAAAUGGUUCUAUCUACACCAUCUAAAAGAAUAUAGUUUAUUCUCCAUACAUUUAAGAAACACCUGCCAUAUGCCAGGUAUCCUUUCAAGCACUGAAAUGCAGAUUCAUAAAACAUGGUCUCUGCUCUCAAGGAGCUCACAGUGGUAAGGAGGAAACAGGCAAUAGCGAGUGUUCUCAUUGCAUUCGUGACCCCAUUGAUCUUGCAACAGCCCCAUGCAUCAGUUAUUGCCAUUAUACCAUUUUACCGAUAAGGAAACUGUGGCAGGGAGGGGUCAAGCACCUUGGGUAUUUGACAGCAAAACCAAGGCUUGGUGGUAUCAUAAAACUUCCAAGUAGUAAUUCACAAAGGUGACUGGGAAAUGGAAGUGACCAGAAAUCUUUGCACUAUGAGGACAAGUUCAUGACCCUGAUACAUUCUUGUCCAGGUAGUAUAGCUCCAGACCAAAUGUCUGCGGCCACCCACCCAAAAACUUGUUGGAUAAAAAUGACUACACCUAUAGUCAAAUGAUUUUUGACAAAGGUGCCAAACAGUUAGAUAGGAAAAAGAAAGUUAUUUUCAAUAAAUGUUGCUGGAGCAACCAGAUAUCCAUAUGGAAAAAAAAUCUUGACCACCUACCUCACACCAAACACUAAUAUUAACUUGAGAUGGAUCAUAAACCUAAGUCUGAAAACUAAUAGUAAAGUUCUUGAGAAGAGAACAUGGGAGAAUGUCUUCAUGAUGUUCAGGUAGGCAAAGAUAUUUUAAGACACAAAAAAGCAAUAAGCAUAAAAUUUGUAAAGAGGUGACUGGGGCUUUAUCAAAAUUAAAAUUUAUGUGUAUUAAAAGACAUCAUGAAUAAAGGGAAAAGGGCAGCCACAGACUGGGAGAAACUCUUUACUAUACAUAUACCUAACUGAGGCUCAUAUCCAGAUUAUAUGAAGAACUCCUUCAUACUGAUACCUAGGGUCUUGAUUGCAUGCCCCGAAAUCAGUUGAUUCUUCCCUUUUGAAAUGCAUUCCCACAAGGAUCCAGCCUUUGGGAAGCCAUGCAAGUAGAGGCAGAAGUUGUUUCAGCUUCGGAAAGGGCCACUCUGCUGAGGAGUGUCCUUGACCGGCAGAGAGAAGAUGUUCCUGCAGCCAUGCUGAUUCCAGGGGGAUAUAGAAUUUGGGGCCUGGGAAUGUUUAAAAAUGAAAGCCAGUUAAUAGUUUUAUUUUUCUUUUAACAUGACAGACAGGAGAACAACCAGCAGGACUCCAGGCUUACCCUGACAUUUUUGUCAAGUAUAUGCGGGUUCUCCAGAGAGCCAGAAUCAAAAGAUGUGUGUAUAUACAGCCAUGUGUUGCAUAACAACAAAGAUACAUUCUGUGAAAUGUGUCCUUAGGCAAUUUCAUCGUUGUGCAAACAUCAUAGGGUGUAUUUGCACACACCUAGAUGGCAUAGCCUACCACACACCUGGACUAUGUGGUAUAGCUUGUCACUCCUAGGCUUUGUACAGCAUGCUACUAUACUGAAUACUGUAGGCAAUUAUAACACAAUGGUAGGUAUAUAUGUCUAUGUAGACAUAUCUAACAUAGAAAAGGUACAGUAACAAUACAGUAUAAAAAGUGAAAAUUGCACACUUAUAUAGGGCACUUCCAAUCAAUGGAGCUUGUAGAACUGGAAGUUGCUCUGGGCGAGUCCGUGAGCAACUAAGACAUUACACUGUGCG